Molecule: ribosomal RNA, 269 nt
Filed under: uncultured bacterium
Lineage: Bacteria
Description: partial 16S ribosomal RNA
Rfam family: Bacterial small subunit ribosomal RNA
Source: RNAcentral
ACCUCGGGAGGCAGCAGUAGGGAAUUUUCGUCAAUGGGCGCAAGCCUGAACGAGCGAUGCCGCGUGAGUGAAGAAGGCCUUCGGGUCGUAAAGCUCUGUUGCGGGGGAAAAAAGGCAGCAUCAGGAAAUGGGUGCUGACUGAUGGUGCCCCGCCAGAAAGACACGGCUAACUACGUGCCAGCAGCCGCGGUAAUACGUAGGUGGCGAGCGUUAUCCGGAAUGAUUGGGCGUAAAGGGUGCGUAGGCGGAUUUUUAAGUGAGAUGUGAAA